Colias croceus (clouded yellow) is the source of this 295-nucleotide long non-coding RNA. RefSeq lists it as uncharacterized. The transcript has 2 exons. Lineage: Eukaryota; Metazoa; Arthropoda; Insecta; Lepidoptera; Pieridae. The record is from RefSeq and is a predicted model, not a curated record.
UAUCAUAGUAUGUUCCCUACAUUUCCCCGAAAGUGCUUUCAAUAGAACAAUGGAUGUGAUUAGUCUGCACGAUGAUGCUAUACCAGUAUGUUUGCCGCUGCAUUCACACAGGGUACCGGUUGAGCCUCAAAUCCCGAACUCAAAAAUGAAUAGAGUGAAUCCGAGUGCAUCACAGGCUGCACGAAAUAGUUUAGUUCUAUAAUUUUCUCUGUUAUUAAGUAAUUAUUGUUUUUUUUUUUCUAUUACCUACUGUAUAUUGUGUUGUUCAUCGUAAUAAAAAACUAUUAUAUACCUA